CCCAGAUUCGACAAGUUAUAAAGCUUUAUUUUUCCAUUUACUUUUGGCAAAAGAGUGCCAGUGUGGUGUGUGAACAUAUGCCAGCUCAUCAGUGAUGUUAAAGUUCUUCACUGUUGCUGUGCACUUGUUUUCUUUCGACUGGAAACUUCUGUGACCAUGCUGGAUCUUUGUCAGGAGAGAAAUACAUCUGCCCAGUGAAGAGGGAUGAAGGUCAGGAAUCAGAGCAUCAGCUCUCUUAAGAAAGCACUGGAUUAAAGAUUAGCCCUGAGUUAACAUCCACUGCCAAUCCUCCUCUUUUUGCUGAGGAAGACUGGCCCUGAGCUAACAUCCGUGCCCAUCUUCCUCUACUU
RNAcentral lists this long non-coding RNA (350 nucleotides) under Equus asinus (donkey). RNAcentral describes it as "lncRNA (ENSEASG00005031398.1)". The record is from RNAcentral. Lineage: Eukaryota; Metazoa; Chordata; Mammalia; Perissodactyla; Equidae.